GUUUAAAUAAUUUAAUAAAAAUAUAGGUAUGUGGCACCUAAUUUAUGUGUACAAACACAUUUUAAACA
This 68-nucleotide transfer RNA is filed under the name Moloha majora. Its description in RNAcentral is "tRNA-His". The record is from RNAcentral. Lineage: Eukaryota; Metazoa; Arthropoda; Malacostraca; Decapoda; Homolidae.